GGAUGCGAUCAUACCAGCACUAAUGCACCGGAUCCCAUCAGAACUCCGAAGUUAAGCGUGCUUGGGCGAGAGUAGUACUAGGAUGGGUAACCCCUGGGAAGUCCUCGUGUUGCAUCCC
RNAcentral lists this ribosomal RNA (118 nucleotides) under Ipomoea nil (Japanese morning glory). Lineage: Eukaryota; Viridiplantae; Streptophyta; Magnoliopsida; Solanales; Convolvulaceae. The record is from RNAcentral.